ACGGGAGGCAGCAGUGGGGAAUAUUGCACAAUGGGCGAAAGCCUGAUGCAGCGACGCCGCGUGAGCGAAGAAGUAUUUCGGUAUGUAAAGCUCUAUCAGCAGGGAAGAUAAUGACGGUACCUGACUAAGAAGCACCGGCUAACUACGUGCCAGCAGCCGCGGUAAUACGUAGGGGGCGAGCGUUAUCCGGAUUUACUGGGUGUAAAGGGCGCGUAGGCGGGACGGCAAGUCAGAUGUGAAAUCUAUGGGCUUAACCCAUAAACUGCAUUUGAAACUGUCGUUCUUGAGUGCUGGAGAGGUAGACGGAAUUCCUUGUGUAGCGGUGAAAUGCGUAGAUAUAAGGAAGAACACCAGUGGCGAAGGCGGUCUACUGGACAGUAACUGACGCUGAGGCGCGAAAGCGUGGGGAGCAAACAGGAUUAGAUACCCUGGUA
Molecule: ribosomal RNA, 434 nt
Rfam family: Bacterial small subunit ribosomal RNA